UCUUCCUCACCCAACACUGCUCUCUCUCUCUUCCCACAGCAAUGGCGGGCUGACCGCAGCCGCUGCCCCGAGGCAUCCUAAAGGCAAGGCCUCGUUUGCCAACAAACCGGCCGACCCGCGUUUGUUUAGCUCCGCCCCUGCUCCCGCCGCCCGCGGUGCCGUCCCAGCCUUACGCACCACGAAUCCUACCCCAUCCCGCGGGGCCGCACGUCCCGGCACCACCGAGGCCGUAGCUGCAGCCGCGCCUCGUAGGUUCCGGCGUUCCGCCACCCGUUGGCGGUGAAAGAGAUCACCCACCACGCGGUCCGAGGUUCUCGCCGCCGCCCGCCCGCCGUCUCGGCCGUGAACGUGAACCUGUGCCACUGCCAACCACCGGGUGGAUAACGGCAGGGCGAGAUGCUGAUCCCGUGCGAUUGCUUCCUCCAUGUUCCUGCACCGCCACUGACUCCAUUACAGAAUUCUACAGCUUCGGCGCCCUGCAGAGAUAAAGGCCUCACGUCGCAGAUCAACUCUGUCUAUGCACCAGCUAGAACUUAUGAAAUUUGUCCGGAAUUGACAGUUCCAUGCACAGUUGCCAGACAUACUGGCAAAGGGAAGAAAAAAAGCAACUGGGUCCAUUAUGGUGGGUUGCUUCCAGCAAUGCUGGAGGCACUGGAGGAUGUCCAGGACGUCGGGGAAGCGCUCUGGCCAUGGAAGGACACACUGAGCAACCGGGAGAGGACGAUCGUCCUCAAGGAGCAGAAAGAUUGGAGACGGGCUGUCGAGAUCUUUGACUGGUUUCGCAGGGAGAGGGGCCAUGAGCUCAAUGUGAUUCACUACAAUGUUGUGCUCUGUACAGUUGGGCGAGCCAGGAGAUGGGAUCUCGUUCUUAAUCUGUGGCAUGAGAUGCAUUCCUGUGGUGUGGCACCAGAUAACUCGACAUAUGGUACAUUGAUCAAUGUAUGUUGCAAAGGAGGAGGAGAACGGGCGACUUUGCUUUGGCUUGGGGACAUGUGCAAGCGGGGUUUGAUGCCUGAUGAGGUCACUAUGAGUAUUGUGCUGCAGGCGCUUAAGAAAGCUGGGGAGUAUGAAAUGGCCGAGCUUUUCUUCAGAAAGUGGUCCUCAGACUCAAGUGGAAGGAUGGAGGGACACCCUCACUACAGCUUGUACACUUACAACAACUUGAUUGAUACUUAUGGAAAAGCCAGUCAACUUGAGAAAGUAUCAGAUACAUUCAAUCAAAUGUUGAAAGAAGGAGUUGCGCCAAGUGUCGUUACUUUCAACACAAUGAUUCAUGUUUGGGGCACACACCAUAGAAUGGAGCGAGUUUCUUCUUUGGUGAGGAUGAUGGAGGAAUUCCAGUGCUUUCCUGACACUAGGACUUACAAUAUACUGAUCUCACUGUACAGGGAAAGCAACAAUAUUGAUGUUGCAGAGUACUACUUCUGGAAGAUGAAGGCAGAAAAUUUGAUACCAGAUGUAGUGAGCUGCCGCACACUCUUAUAUGGAUACUCUAUCAGGGGCAUGAUUUCUAAAGCGGAAGCCCUUCUAAAAGAAAUGGAUGAGAGGGGAUUUUUGAUAGAUGAAUACACACAAUCAGCUUUGACGAGGAUGUAUGUGAAUGCUGGGAUGCUUGAGCAAGCAUGGCAUUGGUUUGACAGAUUCCAUCACCAGAUGAAUUCUGAAUGCUUUUCUGCAAAUAUUGAUGCAUUUGUUGAGAAAGGAUACAUAGUUCUUGCAGAGAAGGCUUUUAUACACUGCCUAAAGAAGAAGAUGCUCAGUGUUUCUGUGUGCAAUGUUAUGAUCAAAGGAUAUGGGUUGGUAGACAAGCUAGAUGAGGCAUGUGAGGUAGCUGAUGGCAUGGAGAGGUAUGGCAUUUUACCUGAUUACGUGACAUACAGUUCUCUCAUUCAACUUCUGUCAACCGCUAAACUGCCAAAGAAGGCUCUUCACUACUUGAAAAAAAUGCAAUCAGUAAAACUGCUGUCAGACUGUGUUCCGUACUCUGUGGUAAUUAGUAGCUUUGCUAAGAAUAGUGAUUUAGGAAUGGUUGAAUACCUAUUUAGAGAAAUGAUCACUUCAGGGAUCCGUGCUGAUGUUUUCCUCUACUCUAUUUUAAUUGAUGCUUUUGCUGAAGUUGGAAAGGUCCAACAAGCUGCAGCAUAUUUUGGUUUGAUGAAAAAAGAUGGCUUAUGUGAGAGUGCUACAAUCUACAAUUCUUUGAUAAAGCUCUAUACAAAGUGAUCAUUGUAUGGUGAAAGAAGCGCGUGAGAUUUUUGAAAGUUUGAAGGCCAGGAGAAGUGCAAAUGAAUUCUCAUACGCAAUGAUGGUGUGUUUGUACAAGAAAAUUGGUCGCUACGAUGUAGCUCACAGGAUUUGCAAGGAAAUGCAAGCUCUUGGACUUAUGACUCAAGCACUAAGCUACAAUUCUGCAAUCCAAAUGUAUGUAUCUUGUGGAAGAAUGGAGGAUGCUUUUAAAAUAUUUAAGAAGAUGUUGGUAUCAAACACACCACCAAAUGAUGCAACAUUCAAGGCACUAAAAGUUAUUCUAGUAAGAAGUGGAGUUACAAGGAACGAGAUAAGGAAGCUAGAAUUGUUAAGAAGAAAUAACACUCAUGAUUGCUUGCAUCAAUGGUACAGGGCACUAUCCCUUUCCCUUCAGCUGUAAGAUCAAGCAUGUUUUCUUUCCAACAUAGUAUUAUUGAUCAAUCUGCUAAAAGGGCACACCCUUUUGACAUUGACAAUUGUAAGAGUAGAAAAAUGAGCACAAGAAAGCAAGUAACAUCAGAACUGAUUUCAAAUGGUUGAAAUCUUAGAUGUAGAUGCACAAUUGCGAUUAUCUAUCUGCUGAACUCUAUACAGAGACGGUGCAUGCCAUUUUUGAGUAAAAAAUGUUGAUAGUUGAUUGACUGAUGCACAGAGAAUUCAUGGAGAUCAUUUACACAUGUGUGGAUCCUGUUAGAUCUCUGCAGGUGAGUUUUAUUACUUAUAUGCUCCCAGUUUCUAUGUAUCAGAAUAUAAGGUACAUGCUGUUGCAACGUCAUGGUUUUGCUAAAAUUGAACUGCUUCAGCUUGUAUGACUUUCACAAAAAGAUUCAGUAUAUGAUAAUCUCCAACUUUGCGAUGUUUUUCUGAGUUCUGCCUGUUGUGAUUUUAUUUAAUUACAUCACAGUUACUUGGCAACAUAAAUUUUCAAUAAUGGCAUCGUACUUCUUGCAGUGCCCUAUUAUGUUAUUAGUAAUUUGUCCUGAUAAAUCUGCAGUAUAUAUUUGUUUGGCUUAUAUUGAAUAAAUUUGUGUUCCCUUGUUGGUGGCUCAUGUUGGGUUUCAGCUCUAGCCUAUCACAACUUUACCGCUGAAAGCCUCAAAAUUUAAAUGAUGCACUUUUCAAUUUAUGCCACUUUGUAUUGAGGAACAUGUAAUAUUUUACCAAAAAUAUACAGGUCGAACUAUAAAUAUAAUACUAAUUUUAAACUUCUCUGAUCAUCAUACUCCAGUGCCAUUAUUUUAUUGUAAUAUGCUCUUCUCUAGCUAUUUCUUUUUUCGUAUUAGAGCAUACUUGAUCACAAAAGACAUCUAUUUGACUUUCUGCUUCCUAUUAGGGCUGUAUGGUUUGUAAGCAAAAACCGUUCGUUUGGCAUUUGCAGACGCUCUCGCGGGCUGCUGGCUAGUGGAGCUUGCUCUCAGCCAGCAUACCCGGGUUCGAGUCCUGCCUUCUUCUAAGUGUAAUGCGGGGAGGCAGUCUGCCUCUUCCGUCUCGUUUUUUUUAGGUGUUGUACAUUUGCAACACAUACGAAAGGUGUACCAUGGCCAGUGAUUCAUCUAAAUGAUGAUUCAGGUAGUGCAAUUUACUGGAGGCACCCUUCUUAUUGGCUUCUGCAAACUGAGAUCCUUGGAAGAUUAAUUCUGAACAAGAGAAUACUUUGUUUGCUGGUGACAGAAUGGCAACUUCACCAACAGCACAGAGUGGAUGGAAAUGGAAUUCAACACCGUGCGUAUUAUACCUGGUAGACGGCCUCGCUCCGGAGGAGGCUCUUGUGGCCGGCCUCACAAUGCCAAGUCUUCUGCUCUCCACUGCCGGCGCCAUUGCAACCCGCUGCCUUCGACUCGCCAUUGCACUAUUUCACUGCCCGGGCCCAGGGAGAGCUCCCAUUGCACUAUUUCACUGCCCGGGCCCAGGGAGAGCUGAGCACCGUGCCGAAGAACCGCGAGCUGAUGCUAUGGGCGAUGAGAGCGGUUCUCUGUCAGUUUAUGCAGCUGCGGUGUCUUAUGCAGGAGUCGUGCGUGCUCAGGUGAGCUGCGAGGCCGUGACCAUCAGCAGCAGUUCGGCCCUUACGUUUUAUGAACAAGAAAAAUGGAGGAGUUUGUGCAUUGUUCCAAUUACUUUUCGAAAUGAUUGGUAUUAGUACCACAUAAAA
Panicum virgatum (switchgrass) is the source of this 4396-nucleotide RNA transcript. It is a transcript of the gene named pentatricopeptide repeat-containing protein At3g23020-like, with no coding region annotated. The record is from RefSeq and is a predicted model, not a curated record. Lineage: Eukaryota; Viridiplantae; Streptophyta; Magnoliopsida; Poales; Poaceae. The transcript has 6 exons.